GGGCCUUUGAAGAGCACUGGCAGCUUCCUUCUUAGCAGAGGAGAAAAUCUCUGCUAUCUCAUCCUCGCCUACCUCGACUUGCCAGACGCCCUGGAGCGGAAGAGGAGCAAUGGUCGGCAGCGGCCAGCCGUGCAGGUGCUGCACCUGAUGGUCCACCUGGGAGAACCGGGGAGAGUCGCAGUGCACGCUCUGCGGGGAGCCGGAAGAUACAGACAGCCCAACUCUAAAUCCUUGAAAUGCAGUGUGGUGUGAAAAUGGAGCGGCAUUUUGGUUAACAAGGGUCUCGAUGCCAUUUACAGGAAAGCAGUUUCUGCAGGGUUCUGCUUUGCAGAGAUCUCUCCUGAUAAUAAUAAUAAAUUUACUCAGAACAA
This 371-nucleotide small RNA is filed under the name Pongo abelii (Sumatran orangutan). RNAcentral describes it as "processed transcript". Lineage: Eukaryota; Metazoa; Chordata; Mammalia; Primates; Hominidae. The record is from RNAcentral.